This 2369-nucleotide ribosomal RNA is filed under the name Klebsiella oxytoca. Its description in RNAcentral is "bacterial LSU rRNA". It matches the Rfam family "Bacterial large subunit ribosomal RNA", at positions 591 to 2925 of the family's 2925-position model. RNAcentral also lists the same sequence under 1 other name. The record is from RNAcentral. Lineage: Bacteria; Pseudomonadati; Pseudomonadota; Gammaproteobacteria; Enterobacterales; Enterobacteriaceae.
GGGUGACUGCGUACCUUUUGUAUAAUGGGUCAGCGACUUAUAUUCUGUAGCAAGGUUAACCGUAUAGGGGAGCCGCAGGGAAACCGAGUCUUAACUGGGCGUUAAGUUGCAGGGUAUAGACCCGAAACCCGGUGAUCUAGCCAUGGGCAGGUUGAAGGUUGGGUAACACUAACUGGAGGACCGAACCGACUAAUGUUGAAAAAUUAGCGGAUGACUUGUGGCUGGGGGUGAAAGGCCAAUCAAACCGGGAGAUAGCUGGUUCUCCCCGAAAGCUAUUUAGGUAGCGCCUCGUGAACUCAUCUUCGGGGGUAGAGCACUGUUUCGGCUAGGGGGUCAUCCCGACUUACCAACCCGAUGCAAACUACGAAUACCGAAGAAUGUUAUCACGGGAGACACACGGCGGGUGCUAACGUCCGUCGUGAAGAGGGAAACAACCCAGACCGCCAGCUAAGGUCCCAAAGUCAUGGUUAAGUGGGAAACGAUGUGGGAAGGCCCAGACAGCCAGGAUGUUGGCUUAGAAGCAGCCAUCAUUUAAAGAAAGCGUAAUAGCUCACUGGUCGAGUCGGCCUGCGCGGAAGAUGUAACGGGGCUAAACCAUGCACCGAAGCUGCGGCAGCGACACUAUGUGUUGUUGGGUAGGGGAGCGUUCUGUAAGCCGUUGAAGGUGGCCUGUGAGGGUUGCUGGAGGUAUCAGAAGUGCGAAUGCUGACAUAAGUAACGAUAAUGCGGGUGAAAAACCCGCACGCCGGAAGACCAAGGGUUCCUGUCCAACGUUAAUCGGGGCAGGGUGAGUCGACCCCUAAGGCGAGGCCGAAAGGCGUAGUCGAUGGGAAACAGGUUAAUAUUCCUGUACUCGGUGUUACUGCGAAGGGGGGACGGAGAAGGCUAUGUUGGCCGGGCGACGGUUGUCCCGGUUUAAGCAUGUAGGCGGAUGUUCCAGGUAAAUCCGGAACGUUAUCAACGCUGAGGUGUGAUGACGAGGCACUACGGUGCUGAAGUGACAAAUGCCCUGCUUCCAGGAAAAGCCUCUAAGCAUCAGGUAACAUCAAAUCGUACCCCAAACCGACACAGGUGGUCAGGUAGAGAAUACCAAGGCGCUUGAGAGAACUCGGGUGAAGGAACUAGGCAAAAUGGUGCCGUAACUUCGGGAGAAGGCACGCUGAUGGUAAGUGAAGCGACUUGCUCGUGGAGCUGAAAUCAGUCGAAGAUACCAGCUGGCUGCAACUGUUUAUUAAAAACACAGCACUGUGCAAACACGAAAGUGGACGUAUACGGUGUGACGCCUGCCCGGUGCCGGAAGGUUAAUUGAUGGGGUUAUCCGUAAGGAGAAGCUCUUGAUCGAAGCCCCGGUAAACGGCGGCCGUAACUAUAACGGUCCUAAGGUAGCGAAAUUCCUUGUCGGGUAAGUUCCGACCUGCACGAAUGGCGUAAUGAUGGCCAGGCUGUCUCCACCCGAGACUCAGUGAAAUUGAACUCGCUGUGAAGAUGCAGUGUACCCGCGGCAAGACGGAAAGACCCCGUGAACCUUUACUAUAGCUUGACACUGAACACUGGUCCUUGAUGUGUAGGAUAGGUGGGAGGCUUUGAAGUGUGGACGCCAGUCUGCAUGGAGCCAUCCUUGAAAUACCACCCUUUAAUGGCUGGUGUUCUAACGUGGGCCCCUAAUCGGGGUUGCGGACAGUGUCUGGUGGGUAGUUUGACUGGGGCGGUCUCCUCCUAAAGAGUAACGGAGGAGCACGAAGGUCAGCUAAUCCUGGUCGGACAUCAGGAGGUUAGUGCAAUGGCAUAAGCUGGCUUGACUGCGAGCGUGACGGCGCGAGCAGGUGCGAAAGCAGGUCAUAGUGAUCCGGUGGUUCUGAAUGGAAGGGCCAUCGCUCAACGGAUAAAAGGUACUCCGGGGAUAACAGGCUGAUACCGCCCAAGAGUUCAUAUCGACGGCGGUGUUUGGCACCUCGAUGUCGGCUCAUCACAUCCUGGGGCUGAAGUAGGUCCCAAGGGUAUGGCUGUUCGCCAUUUAAAGUGGUACGCGAGCUGGGUUUAGAACGUCGUGAGACAGUUCGGUCCCUAUCUGCCGUGGGCGCUGGAGAAUUGAGGGGGGCUGCUCCUAGUACGAGAGGACCGGAGUGGACGCAUCACUGGUGUUCGGGUUGUCAUGCCAAUGGCAUUGCCCGGUAGCUAAAUGCGGAAGAGAUAAGUGCUGAAAGCAUCUAAGCACGAAACUUGCCCCGAGAUGAGUUCUCCCUGACCCUUUAAGGGUCCUGAAGGAACGUUGAAGACGACGACGUUGAUAGGCCGGGUGUGUAAGCGCAGCGAUGCGUUGAGCUAACCGGUACUAAUGAACCGUGAGGCUUAACCUUACAACGCCGAAG